RNAcentral lists this ribosomal RNA (465 nucleotides) under Triticum aestivum (bread wheat). Its description in RNAcentral is "partial small subunit ribosomal RNA". Lineage: Eukaryota; Viridiplantae; Streptophyta; Magnoliopsida; Poales; Poaceae. The record is from RNAcentral.
AUGCCGAAGGGGAAAAGUAAAAAACGCGGCUCCUCUCGUCGAUCCCUGCUCUCACACGCAAGCCUCCUCUCUUCUCUCCCCCCGGCUCGCCGCCACCGCCGCCACCACUCACGACGGCCGAUUCCGGCGAGUACCAGCGGCGGGUGGCAGAUCAACGACCUCCCCACGCCCCGCUCCUUCCUCCCAUCCCUCCUGAUCCGACGGGGGCGGAGGCGGCGCCUCGUCCGACUCCUCCUCCCCGUCCUCAUCCUCCUCAUUCUCUGCCGCCACCGCCUCCUCCUCCAGCGCCCCUCCAGCGGCCGCAGCAACAGCCCCGCCGGCGGCGGCAGGGAGUACAACUUGUUCGGCGUCGUGCCCGUCAGGCCGGCCGCCGGGUACGGGGACGAGGAGGAAGAGGAGGCGAGAGAUUUGUUCGGCUCCGACAACGAGGAGUACUUCAAGACCCCCCGCGUAGCAACUACCUAA